Non-coding RNA from Camellia sinensis, 444 nucleotides. The record is from RefSeq and is a predicted model, not a curated record. Lineage: Eukaryota; Viridiplantae; Streptophyta; Magnoliopsida; Ericales; Theaceae.
CUUUAAUUAAAUAGUUUUAUUAUUUAUUUUAAUACUUAUUUGAGCAAUGGAAAAAUAUCUAGAUUUUUAUGCUUUUUCUUAGUCAUUAAGCUAGCCCUAUUUCAUGGCUUAUAAAUUGAGAACUUUGUCUCAAUUUUCACCACACAUUUUCAACAGCCUAGGGAGAGGGUGAGAGGGUGAAGGUGUGAUCAAAGGAAGUAGAGAAGAAGAAGAAGAAAAAUAAUAAUAAUAAUAAGGGUGACUCUCAAAAAGGUGGUGAAGCAGUUAUAAUGAUGAAAGUUAUUGCAAAGGCAAAUACGAUGAAGUGUUGGAGCGGUGGUUCAUUUGAAGACUUAGACUAGUUGUUUUUGUUUUCAAUGUUUUGUAAUCCUGCAAUGGAAAAUAAACGAAUGAUCUGUGAUACUAACUCUGGUUAUAUAUGUAUAUUAAGAUGUUUUGGUUAUC